AGAGUUUGAUCCUGGCUCAGAGUGAACGCUGGCGGCAGGCCUAAUACAUGCAAGUCGAACGGCAGCACAGCAGAGCUUGCUCUGUGGGUGGCGAGUGGCGGACGGGUGAGGAAUACAUGGGAAUCUGCCCAGCCGUGGGGGAUAACGUAGGGAAACUUACGCUAAUACCGCAUGCGCCCUUCGGGGGAAAGCCGGGGACCUUCGGGCCUGGCGCGAUUGGAUGAGCCCAUGUCGGAUUAGCUAGUUGGCGGGGUAAAGGCCCACCAAGGCGACGAUCCGUAGCUGGUCUGAGAGGAUGAUCAGCCACACUGGAACUGAGACACGGUCCAGACUCCUACGGGAGGCAGCAGUGGGGAAUAUUGGACAAUGGGCGAAAGCCUGAUCCAGCCAUGCCGCGUGUGUGAAGAAGGUCUUCGGAUUGUAAAGCACUUUAAGUUGGGAGGAAGGGCAGUAAGUUAAUACCUUGCUGUUUUGACGUUACCAACAGAAUAAGCACCGGCUAACUUCGUGCCAGCAGCCGCGGUAAUACGAAGGGUGCAAGCGUUAAUCGGAAUUACUGGGCGUANAGCGCGCGUAGGUGGUUUGGUAAGAUGGAUGUGAAAUCCCCGGGCU
Molecule: ribosomal RNA, 612 nt
Filed under: uncultured Gammaproteobacteria bacterium
Lineage: Bacteria; Pseudomonadati; Pseudomonadota; Gammaproteobacteria
Description: bacterial SSU rRNA
Rfam family: Bacterial small subunit ribosomal RNA
Source: RNAcentral